AGCUCCAAUAGCGUAUAUUAAUGUUGUUGCAGUUAAAAAAGCUCGUAGUCGAAAUUCAGGCAAGGGUUGGGGUGGUCUGCCUCGGGUGUGUACUGCUCGCGCUUGUCUUUUUUUGAGAUAGCGGCGUUCCCCUUUAAUUAGGCGGGGCGUUCGUUACUCAUCGUUUACCUUGAAAAAAUUAGAGUGUUCAACGCAGGCGU
RNAcentral lists this ribosomal RNA (200 nucleotides) under uncultured eukaryote. RNAcentral describes it as "partial 18S ribosomal RNA". It matches the Rfam family "Eukaryotic small subunit ribosomal RNA", at positions 587 to 787 of the family's 1831-position model. The record is from RNAcentral.